RNAcentral lists this ribosomal RNA (434 nucleotides) under uncultured Lachnospiraceae bacterium. RNAcentral's name for it is "partial 16S ribosomal RNA". It matches the Rfam family "Bacterial small subunit ribosomal RNA", at positions 341 to 792 of the family's 1533-position model. Lineage: Bacteria; Bacillati; Bacillota; Clostridia; Lachnospirales; Lachnospiraceae. The record is from RNAcentral.
ACGGAAGGCAGCAGUGGGGAAUAUUGCACAAUGGGCGAAAGCCUGAUGCAGCGACGCCGCGUGAGUGAAGAAGUAUCUCGGUAUGUAAAGCUCUAUCAGCAGGGAAGAAAAUGACGGUACCUGACUAAGAAGCCCCGGCUAACUACGUGCCAGCAGCCGCGGUAAUACGUAGGGGGCAAGCGUUAUCCGGAUUUACUGGGUGUAAAGGGAGCGUAGACGGUAAAGCAAGUCUGAAGUGAAAGGCUGGGGCUCAACCCCAGGACUGCUUUGGAAACUGUUAAACUAGAGUGCAGGAGAGGUAAGUGGAAUUCCUAGUGUAGCGGUGAAAUGCGUAGAUAUUAGGAGGAACACCAGUGGCGAAGGCGGCUUACUGGACUGUAACUGACGUUGAGGCUCGAAAGCGUGGGGAGCAAACAGGAUUAGAUACCCUGGUA